This 508-nucleotide ribosomal RNA is filed under the name uncultured bacterium. RNAcentral describes it as "bacterial SSU rRNA". It matches the Rfam family "Bacterial small subunit ribosomal RNA", at positions 39 to 526 of the family's 1533-position model. The record is from RNAcentral.
CCGCCGCGGUAACACGUGCAAGUCGCACGAGAAUUUCUACCUUCGGGUGGAAUAGUAAAGUGGCGCACGGGUGAGUAACGCGUGGAUAAUCUGCCUUCAAGUAGGGAAUAACAUUGCGAAAGCGAUGCUAAUACCGUAUAAGCUCACGAUUUGACUAGUUGUGGGAAAAGAUGGCCUAGUCUAUGCUAUCGCUUGAAGAUGAGUCCGCGUACCAUUAGCUAGUUGGUAGGGUAAUGGCCUACCAAGGCUACGAUGGUUAGCUGGCCUGAGAGGGCGGCAAGCCACACUGGAACGGAGACACGGUCCAGACUCCUACGGGAGGCAGCAGUGGGGAAUAUUGCGCAAUGGGGGAAACCCUGACGCAGCGACGCCGUGUGAGUGAUGAAGGUUUUCGGAUCGUAAAGCUCUGUCGGGUGGAAAGAAUAAAGGCUGUGUAAAUAAUGCAGUCUGAUGACGGUACCACCAAAGGAAGCACCGGCUAACUCCGUGCCAGCAGCCGCCGUAAGAC